RNAcentral lists this ribosomal RNA (484 nucleotides) under uncultured bacterium. RNAcentral describes it as "partial 16S ribosomal RNA". It matches the Rfam family "Bacterial small subunit ribosomal RNA", at positions 30 to 507 of the family's 1533-position model. The record is from RNAcentral.
AUUGAACGCUGGCGGCAUGCUUUACACAUGCAAGUCGAACGGUAACAGGGUGCUUGCCCCGCUGACGAGUGGCGAACGGGUGAGUAAUGCAUCGGAAUGUACCGUGUAAUGGGGGAUAGCUCGGCGAAAGCCGGAUUAAUACCGCAUACGCCCUGAGGGGGAAAGUGGGGGACCGAAAGGCCUCACGUUAUACGAGCAGCCGAUGUCUGAUUAGCUAGUUGGUGAGGUAAAGGCUCACCAAGGCGUCGAUCAGUAGCGGGUCUGAGAGGAUGAUCCGCCACACUGGGACUGAGACACGGCCCAGACUCCUACGGGAGGCAGCAGUGGGGAAUUUUGGACAAUGGGCGCAAGCCUGAUCCAGCCAUGCCGCGUGUCUGAAGAAGGCCUUCGGGUUGUAAAGGACUUUUGUCCGGGAGCAAAUCCUAGUGGUUAAUAACCGCUGGGUCUGAGAGUACCGGAAGAAUAAGCACCGGCUGACUACGUG